This 497-nucleotide ribosomal RNA is filed under the name uncultured bacterium. RNAcentral describes it as "partial 16S ribosomal RNA". It matches the Rfam family "Bacterial small subunit ribosomal RNA", at positions 30 to 523 of the family's 1533-position model. The record is from RNAcentral.
AUUGAACGCUGGCGGCAUGCCUUACACAUGCAAGUCGAACGGUAACAGGUCUUCGGAUGCUGACGAGUGGCGAACGGGUGAGUAAUAUAUCGGAACGUGCCCAGUCGUGGGGAAUAACGCAGCGAAAGCUGUGCUAAUACCGCAUACGAUCUAUGGAUGAAAGCGGGGGAUCGCAAGACCUCGCGCGAUUGGAGCGGCCGAUAUCAGAUUAGGUAGUUGGUGGGGUAAAGGCCUACCAAGCCAACGAUCUGUAGCUGGUCUGAGAGGACGACCAGCCACACUGGAACUGAGACACGGUCCAGACUCCUACGGGAGGCAGCAGUGGGGAAUUUUGGACAAUGGGCGCAAGCCUGAUCCAGCAAUGCCGCGUGCAGGAUGAAGGCCUUCGGGUUGUAAACUGCUUUUGUACGGAACGAAAAGGCUCUGGUUAAUACCUGGGGCUCAUGACGGUACCGUAAGAAUAAGCACCGGCUACUACGUGCCAGCCGCCGCCGUAA